CUCUAUUUUGUGGAGAGAUUUAAUUGUAUCGGAUAAUUAUGAGAAGCUUAUUUUUGACCAUUUCACGGGCACAAUUAAGUGUUGAGUUGGAAAUGGGGCUUAUAUACCUUUGUGGUUUUACGACACUUAGAUUGCGACCCUUCCAUUAAAACCGUCCUCCUUUAACAUUUGGGACAGUUGCCACGACGGCUAAGGACUAGUGUCGUAGCUUUUUAAACAAAAAAAGAACAUUUCAUUUGCAAAUGAGGUCCACGACGAUUGCUGAACUGCCCUCCAACCCUUGUUGGGACGGUUUUACAACAGCCGCAUCCUUCCCCUUAAAAUUUCCUUACUUUCCAAACCUUGUCUUCACACAAAUCUCAAAUUCACGUUCAUCAAACUCUUAUCUCAAAAUCCGCAUGUCUCAUAAAACUAGAAAUCCAUAAUAUUUCUUUUCAAAGAACAAUGAAGAUUAGGUCACAAUCAAUUUCAACAAAGAUUAGGUCACAAUUAGUUUCAACAAGUAUUAGGUCACAACCAGUUUCAACAAAGAUUAGGUCAAACCUCAUUCAAUCAUCUUCGACAAAGAUUAGGUCACAUCGCUGUUCAAUCAACUUCAAUUAGAUCUUAAUUUCAAACCGGGUUAAUUUCAUUCAAGUUUGAUUCAAUCAAGCUUGAUUUCAAUCAAUUUCUUAUGAUGAUUUCAAUCUGCACAAACGAUGAGGAUGCGGCAGGUAAAUAACGAAUCCAAUUCUUCAAUAUUAUUGUUUGGUGACAAAGCUUUCUUCUCUUACUGUGUUCCAUAUUUAAAUCUAUUUUUUCCAUCAAAAGAUUUAUUUUAUGGUUUUAUUGGAGACAAAAAACGUGAAAAGUAUAAAGACCAUAAAUAAUCGUUGAUACUCGGGUGAUGAUGUUAUUAGCAAGAUGACUCUAGAGGAGAAAAUUCGUCAAAUGUUACAGGGAAAAACAAUAAUGAUUUUUUUGUUUCCUUUAUUUUCUAAGGUAUUAUAUAAGUUCAAUUAGGUACUAAUGGAAAAUACUUGUCUUUUUGUUAGGGAGUGUUAUGAGUGAGGGAGGAAGUAUUCCAAUUCCAAAAGUUUCUGCUGAAAACUAGAUUUAAAUAACUUCCUUGGCCCUUUCUUAUUCGGUGUUAUGCUAGUUCUUAUGGUCAUUGGGCUGAUUCGGGUUUUCUUUCCAUUGGAUAAGAUAUCUACUAUGAUCUAUGUUUGCUUGGCAGCAAUUAUAUUUUGUGCCUACAUCCUGUAUGAUACAGACAACUUGAUCAAGAGAUACUCCUACGAUGAAUUUAUUUGGGCUUCUGUCUCUUUGUAUUAGGAUAUGAUCGACCUUUUCCUCUCUUUGCUCACUAUUUUCAGAGCAGCUAAAUAGUUGAUAUCCUUGUUUUUCUUAGUACAUACUACUGGUUUACUCUGGGUGGUGGGUGGUUUUGAAAUUGAAUUCUUAUCUGCUAAUAAAUAUUUAUAGCCUCCCAGCUGCCUUGUUCCUUGUACUAGAUUAUUGUUGUUAAGGCUGUUAGAAGGAUACUUUAACAACCAGGUUUGGAAUUAUAUUUUUUAUGGGAUUGAUUAUAUUCAUGGCCAUAACUCUGUUUACAAAGAAACUAAUUUUCCUUACAGUACUGGCCUCAUAGUUACUAGGUAUAUGUGCAAAUGUUUGAUUGUUGGUAAUGUUUGUUUGGAGUUAAAUGUGUUAUUGUUUUGUGACUUGUCGAUGAAUGUUUGUUUGUGAAGGAUAAACAAUAGCUUCUACCAAGUUAUAUUUUUAUCAUUGAAGCUAGGAAACAAGCUUUGAGGAACACAAAUUCCCUUUCUUUAUAAUGUUGAGGUGAAUAUGCGGCUUGUUGAAAGGAAGCAUAAUUGUUGAAAUUAUGCUAGAAGAGUUGGAGCAAAAACCAAUUGAGUUAGUACCGAGUGGGUUAUUGUUCCUAGGUGAGGAGGGCGUCCGAAUUUGGUAGUGGAUAGUUCCCUUUUCAAUUAUUAAUUCCAUUCAUAAUUUGUUAUUUCAUAUAACAUCUUUAGUGAAAAUAAUUAAGUGAAAUGGUCAAAUAGAUUUCAAGGUGAGAGUAUCAAAGAUGAAAUAACAUAUAUAUAUAGAGGCAACACCGAUCAACAUGACAUGGUUACCGAUUUCAUUUUAUCCAUGAAUUGAUUAUCUUAUCUAAGCUAAUAUAUCCCUCUAAUAUCAUAGUUACCACGUGGCACAAAUCUAUCGUUGAUAUCAAAUUCCAUGGCCACUUAAUAAUUUUUUUGGCUAAAGUGUGUUAGCCUUUGAAAUUCUAACUCAUAGAGAGAUAACAAUGACAAAAUAUUCAUUCUCAAAAUGACAGGGACUGCUUUCUACAUCUAUUGCUGGUAACUCCUCUUCUCAACUUUAAUUUUUCCAUAACAUGUUCAAUUGUAAGAAUAUCAACAUUAAAAUUUAUGUUGUUAAUUUUUGUUUGAAUAUGAUUGGGAAUGCUUUCAAUGGUUUUACUUAUGAGAUCUCAGUUUGACUUUUUAAUGCUUUUAGUUUAUAGUUUCUUUUUAUAGGCUAUUCAUAGUUUCUGUUAGGAUAAAGAAUUAUGGCUAAUCAUGUUAAUUAAAUUAGUUAUUAUAUUAUUAUACUUUAUGGUGUACUAUAGAAAUAACUUAUACAUCAACGUUUAAUAUGAAAAGCCUUUUGUAAUAAGCUGCAAAUUAAGAUGCUUAUGCAAACAUGGCUUAACUCUUAUUGUUAGAAUUAUUGUUAGUUUUUUUUCAAGUAUAUAUACACACUAAUAAGCAUGCUAGAUAAUAAUAUCCUAUUGUUUUAAUGAAAGUAGGGAAUGGUAGAAAAAUUUUAAUGGCUUACUGAAAGCAGGGCAUGGUAGAUAAUGAAGUCUGCAGUAGUGGUGUAAUAUAUAAAAAGUUACAACUCAAAACUGACAUUUAGUUGAGUUGUUUCUUUUUGUAUUAAAAGGAUGCUAGAUUUGGAUUUCCACCAGGAGGAAAAAAUAGUGUCCCAUUCUUCAUGCCUCUUCAAACUCAGCCGAAUAUUAAUUCUGCGCAGAAUUUGAUGAUGCUUUUUUCAAGCUUCUCUUCAAUUAGAUACAUCUCACCUUAGGUUUGUUUUAUGUAUUUUGAUAUAUGGAAGUGUUGCAAUCAUUGGAUUUCUCACAUUUGGCGACAACACUUUGUCUCACAUAAUAUUGAAUACGUGUCUGGUGCAUUUGCUUCCAAAGUUUCAUUAUGGACAACAAUUAGUUUGAAAGUUUAGUAGCUUCUCAAUUCUAUCUUAAUAGUUUGAUUCUAGAGAAUAGGUUAUUUAUUUCAGAUGAUGUUUUCCUUGAUAUAUUCUAGAGAACAAGUAACUCUAAAGAAUAAGUUUUAAUGUUUUUAGUUGACAAGUUUAGUAGAAGAAAAUUCUCUC
Long non-coding RNA from Vicia villosa (hairy vetch), 3387 nucleotides. RefSeq lists it as uncharacterized. The transcript has 2 exons. Lineage: Eukaryota; Viridiplantae; Streptophyta; Magnoliopsida; Fabales; Fabaceae. The record is from RefSeq and is a predicted model, not a curated record.